Molecule: transfer RNA, 84 nt
Filed under: Candidatus Pacearchaeota archaeon CG10_big_fil_rev_8_21_14_0_10_34_12
Lineage: Archaea; Nanobdellati
Description: tRNA-Leu
Rfam family: tRNA
About the family: Transfer RNA (tRNA) molecules are approximately 80 nucleotides in length. Their secondary structure includes four short double-helical elements and three loops (D, anti-codon, and T loops). Further hydrogen bonds mediate the characteristic L-shaped molecular structure. tRNAs have two regions of fundamental functional importance: the anti-codon, which is responsible for specific mRNA codon recognition, and the 3' end, to which the tRNAs corresponding amino acid is attached (by aminoacyl-tRNA synthetases). tRNAs cope with the degeneracy of the genetic code in two manners: having more than one tRNA (with a specific anti-codon) for a particular amino acid; and 'wobble' base-pairing, i.e. permitting non-standard base-pairing at the 3rd anti-codon position.
Source: RNAcentral
GUGGGUAUGCCGGAGUGGUCAAACGGGCAAGACUUAAGAUCUUGUGGCUUAGUGCCUGCGAAGGUUCGAACCCUUCUACCCACA